AAAACUUCAUAAAUGUUUGAUAACCAUAUGCAAGAUGCCGACUUGAGCCUCUCCCAAUUCUCUAAUAACCUUGCUAGAGGUUAGCCAGGCAGGGCUCAAUAUACCUCUUCACCAAUGGAAUAGUUUCUGAUUGCAUUUGCUGUCACC
Non-coding RNA from Otolemur garnettii (small-eared galago), 147 nucleotides. NCBI's taxonomy places the organism in Eukaryota, Metazoa, Chordata, Mammalia, Primates, Galagidae. The record is from Rfam.